This 253-nucleotide ribosomal RNA is filed under the name uncultured bacterium. RNAcentral describes it as "partial 16S ribosomal RNA". It matches the Rfam family "Bacterial small subunit ribosomal RNA", at positions 524 to 776 of the family's 1533-position model. The record is from RNAcentral.
UACGGAGGGGGCUAGCGUUGUUCGGAAUUACUGGGCGUAAAGCGCGCGUAGGCGGCUUUGUAAGUUAGAGGUGAAAGCCCGGAGCUCAACUCCGGAACUGCCUUUAAGACUGCAUCGCUAGAAUUGUGGAGAGGUAAGUGGAAUUCCGAGUGUAGAGGUGAAAUUCGUAGAUAUUCGGAAGAACACCAGUGGCGAAGGCGACUUACUGGACACAUAUUGACGCUGAGGUGCGAAAGCGUGGGGAGCAAACAGG